GACUGGCUGAUCCUGCCUUCAAUCAUAUGCUUGUUUAAAAGAUUAAGCCAUGCAUGUCUAAGUAUAAGCCGCACGAUCGGCGAAACUGCGAAUGGCUCAUUAUAUCAGCUACAAUCUACUCGAUUUAUAAAGUUACACGGAUAACUGUAGCAAUACUAGAGCUAAUACGUGCGAAAGGGCCGGAACGGGUUUCGAUCCGCGAAGGCCGUAGUUGCAAGGCGAGAAACCGGUUCGGGGUAUUCCAAACUUCCAAAAUGCGAAUUCUGGAGGGCUCCGAUCCUGUAAGACGAAUCAUUGCAAAGCGUUGCGAAUCGGGGGCAAAAGCUUCCGAUGAUGCGAACGAGUAUCUGCCCUAUCAACUUUCAAUCGUAGUGUAGGGGACUACGAUGGUGAUAACGGGUACGGGGAAUUAGGGUUCGAUUCCGGAGAGUUAGCCUUAAAAAUGGCUAACAUUACCAAGGUAAGCAGCAGGCGCGUAAACGAUCCAAUCCCGAUUCGGGGAGAUAGUGACAAGAAAUAUCGGUGUGGGGCCUUUAUAGGCUUCACGAUCGAAAUGAGUACAAUUUAAAAACCUUAACGAGGAACAAUUGGAGGGCAAGUCUGGUGCCAGCACCCGCGGUAAUUCCAGCUCCAAGAGCGUAUAUUAAAGUUGUUGCGGUUAAAAAGCUCGUAGUUGAACCGAGAGGGCGGAGCACGGAUUUAAAAAGCUUUCGGGCCUUCGCUUCGCGCGGGGGUUCGGGGGUCGUGGGUUCGUCCUCGAAUUUGCGAUGAACUAAACCGGCUUGGAGGGGAUUCCUUCCGUCUUCUUCGUGUAAAAAGCGAAGGGGGGGGAGGAUUCGUCUUCUUCUCGUCGGAUCGCAGAGUUUUGGUUUGAAUAAAUUAGGGUGUUCAAAGCAGACGAAUACGUCUUGAAUAGAUUAGCAUGGGAUAAUGAAAUAAGACCUUCAAGAAGGGGAAAAAGCGGCUCUUCGUAGUCGUCGUUUCUUCUUUUCGGCUUAAGUUUGCUGGUUUCUGAGGCCGAGGUAAUGAUCAAUAGGGACGGUCGGGGUCGCUCGUACUCGGUGGUGAGAGGUGAAAUUCUAAGACCCAUCGAAGACGAACAAGUGCGAAGGCAUUCGACAAGGAUGUUUUCUUUAAUCAAGUUCGAAAGUUAUGGGAUCGAAGAUGAUCAGAUACCGUCGUAGUCAUAACCGUAAACUAUGUUGACUCGGGAUCGGAGGAUGUUACAUGGAUGACUCUUCCGGCACCGUGUGCGAAAGCACAAGUAUUCGGACUCCGGGGGGAGUAUGGUCGCAAGGCUGAAACUUAAAGAAUCGACGGAAGGGCACCACCAGGUGUGGAAUCUGCGGCUUAAUUUGACUCAACACGGGGAAACUUACCCAGUCCUGACGCGAUGAGGAUUGACAGAUUGAUAGUUCUUUCUUGAUUUUGUGGAAGCCGGUGCAUGGCCGUGAUUAGUUGGUGGAGCGAUUUGUCUGGUUAAGUCCGAUAACGAACGAGACCUAAAUUUAUUAAAUAGUGGUGCGGACAAGGGGGCUUUCGCGCCACCGAAUUCGGGG
RNAcentral lists this ribosomal RNA (1559 nucleotides) under Saccamoeba limax. Its description in RNAcentral is "SSU rRNA". It matches the Rfam family "Eukaryotic small subunit ribosomal RNA", at positions 1 to 1398 of the family's 1831-position model. The record is from RNAcentral. Lineage: Eukaryota; Tubulinea; Elardia; Euamoebida; Hartmannellidae.